GCCCGCCUAGCUCAAUCGGAUAGAGCGUCAGACUCUUAUAGGCGGGAUCUGAAGGCUGCGAGUUCGACCCUCGCGGUGGGCU
Molecule: transfer RNA, 82 nt
Filed under: Dendrothele bispora CBS 962.96
Lineage: Eukaryota; Fungi; Basidiomycota; Agaricomycetes; Agaricales
Description: Dendrothele bispora (strain CBS 962.96) tRNA
Rfam family: tRNA
About the family: Transfer RNA (tRNA) molecules are approximately 80 nucleotides in length. Their secondary structure includes four short double-helical elements and three loops (D, anti-codon, and T loops). Further hydrogen bonds mediate the characteristic L-shaped molecular structure. tRNAs have two regions of fundamental functional importance: the anti-codon, which is responsible for specific mRNA codon recognition, and the 3' end, to which the tRNAs corresponding amino acid is attached (by aminoacyl-tRNA synthetases). tRNAs cope with the degeneracy of the genetic code in two manners: having more than one tRNA (with a specific anti-codon) for a particular amino acid; and 'wobble' base-pairing, i.e. permitting non-standard base-pairing at the 3rd anti-codon position.
Source: Rfam by way of RNAcentral